Molecule: ribosomal RNA, 823 nt
Filed under: uncultured bacterium
Lineage: Bacteria
Description: bacterial SSU rRNA
Rfam family: Bacterial small subunit ribosomal RNA
Source: RNAcentral
AGAGUUUGAUCCUGGCUCAGGAUGAACGCUGGCGGCGUGCCUAAUACAUGCAAGUCGAACGCACAGCGAAAGGUGCUUGCACCUUUCAAGUGAGUGGCGAACGGGUGAGUAACACGUGGAUAACCUACCUCAAGGUUGGGGAUAACAUUUGGAAACAGAUGCUAAUACCCAAUAAAACUUCGUAUCGCAUGAUACAAGGUUAAAAGGCGCUACGGCGUCACCUAGAGAUGGAUCCGCGGUGCAUUAGUUAGUUGGUGGGGUAAAGGCCUACCAAGACAAUGAUGCAUAGCCGAGUUGAGAGACUGAUCGGCCACAUUGGGACUGAGACACGGCCCAAACUCCUACGGGAGGCUGCAGUAGGGAAUCUUCCACAAUGGGCGAAAGCCUGAUGGAGCAACGCCGCGUGUGUGAUGAAGGCUUUCGGGUCGUAAAGCACUGUUGUAUGGGAAGAACAGCUAGAGUAGGGAAUGACUUUAGUUUGACGGUACCAUACCAGAAAGGGACGGCUAAAUACGUGCCAGCAGCCGCGGUAAUACGUAUGUCCCGAGCGUUAUCCGGAUUUAUUGGGCGUAAAGCGAGCGCAGACGGUUGAUUAAGUCUGAUGUGAAAGCCCGGAGCUCAACUCCGGAAAGGCAUUGGAAACUGGUCAACUUGAGUGCAGUAGAGGUAAGUGGAGCUCCAUGUGUAGCGGUGGAAUGCGUAGAUAUAUGGAAGAACACCAGCGGCGAAGGCGGCUUACUGGACUGUAACUGACGUUGAGGCUCGAAAGUGUGGGUAGCAAACAGGAUUAGAUACCCUGGUAGUCCACACCGUAAACGAUGAA